Non-coding RNA from Paramuricea clavata, 201 nucleotides. The record is from the annotation of a GenBank genome assembly. Lineage: Eukaryota; Metazoa; Cnidaria; Anthozoa; Malacalcyonacea; Plexauridae.
CUCAACAACUCUUACGCAAUUCCUGUCCCAAUUUGACCGAGGCAUUAGAGUUGAGACGGUCUGUGGUUCAGAAAGGAUGUAUCGCGGUUCGGCACUUGACUAGUAAAUGAGUCGUGGAGUGGGGAGGGGGGCUGAGUCGCAGUUUGCAGUCUUAUGUCGGUCCAAUUCGGAUUUCAAUCUGGAAUCUGAUCCAUAGCGGAU